Molecule: long non-coding RNA, 207 nt
Filed under: Mytilus galloprovincialis (Mediterranean mussel)
Lineage: Eukaryota; Metazoa; Mollusca; Bivalvia; Mytilida; Mytilidae
Source: RNAcentral
GGCAGAUGUUCUGCUAAUGCAGUGAAAUUUGAAACUGACGUGCAGAAUGUUAACAUUAUCAUGUUUGUCAUAAGUGUUAGUUUUUAAAGUCAUUUAUCACUAUCGAGAAAAAGAUCAAGAAAUAAGUUUUGUUAGUGUACUUAAACUGAAAUUAACUAGGAAUGAUGAGGAGCAAUCACUCACUUAAAUGAGGGCCAUGAGUAAUAG